UCUAUUGUAGUCAAAUUUAUGACGUGGGAUUUAAGCUCCUCAGGUGUAUUAGCCUUUAGAA
Molecule: transfer RNA, 61 nt
Filed under: Proasellus hercegovinensis
Lineage: Eukaryota; Metazoa; Arthropoda; Malacostraca; Isopoda; Asellidae
Description: transfert RNA-L2(TTA)
Source: RNAcentral